Rattus norvegicus (Norway rat) is the source of this 3534-nucleotide non-coding RNA. Lineage: Eukaryota; Metazoa; Chordata; Mammalia; Rodentia; Muridae. The record is from RefSeq and is a predicted model, not a curated record.
UGCUAGGAAGGCCCUGGAGAGAAAGUGGACCGGGCAGGGAAGGCGGGGUAUAAAAAGGGUCCACCUGAGCCUUGCAGGGCUGGUUCUCCAGACAGACAUCCUCCUGGGAACAUCUUAAAGACUGAGUGAGGCCAGGUCAGGGAUCGACUGAACUUUCAGAUCAGCCCAGCCCUGUAUCCCUGUUUGACUGCUGGGGGCGGGGGCAGGGGGGAAACAACACAGGGCCCAGGCCUGGCUGCAGGCAGGAGCUGGCACCUUGGGCCACCCCUCCCCCACGAGUUCUGCCAUUACUGGAAAUGUGGAAACCUCCUGGGGUCUUGUAGAACUGACUGCUGGUAAGUCCCCUCCCCAGUGGCUCUACAGUAACUCCCAGGGGCCUGCUGUGCUGGCAGCCCCAGCCUGGGCCCCCACACCCAGUCCCUGCUGCAGGUGGCUUCUUGAGGGCAAUGGGAGUGGGGGAUGGGUAAAGGGGUUCCCAGGCCAGUGGCCUCUGCCUCUCUGAUGCCAGGGGCUUCCUGGGGAAGAGGGACCACAAACAGGAGGGUGUGUGGGCUGGGGGAGUGGGGGCAACUUCCCUCUGUUCUCUUCCCAGAAGGGAGGAAGCUCAAUUUUAGAUGCCGCAGCAGCCCUGUUCUUUCCUGGUUAUCAAAAUUCUGAAGUCCUCCCUUCAGCCUCAACCUUCUGAGUCUUUCGAAGGAGAAAGAGUCAAGUGGUAACCUGGAAAUAUCCAUCUGACCCUAGAGGGCACCUAUAGACCAGCCCUCCAGAUCCUGGCCCUGCAGUGGGCCUCAGGAGGCGAAUGAAUGAAUGAUGAAUGAAGCAGUGUCAGGAAUCCUGGGCUCACAGCAGGCUUCCAGCAUCCCUCAGAGAGAAUGCAGGGGAGCACAAGUCCAGAUCUGGAGAGUUCUGCGCCAAGCAGGACUCAGGGAAGCUGUCUGGGUCAGCUCAUCCUGACCGUGGAGCCAAGCAAUGGAAGCCAGGAUUCCUGAGCAUCGCCCAAGGGAACAGAAAGGAGUCAGGUUCUUCCCAAGACCGGAGGCAAGGGUAGCGGGUAUCUGCACACACGUGUGUUUGGUGAAUGUACCCAAGUGUGUGCCCAUGGAGUCCAGAGGACAAAGGGUGUGGUUCUCAGUCCUUCCUCAUCUCUCCCACCCCACAGCACUGGGAUUACAGCACAGCACGUAUGUAUGUAUGUAUGCAUGUAUGUAUGCAUGUAUGUGUGCAUGUACAUGCAUGUAUCUGUAAAGGUGUGUAUGUACAUAUGUGCACAUGUACGUAUGUGUAUGUGUGCAUGUAUGUGUGCAUGUGUGUGCACGUGUGUAUGUGUGUGCAUGUAUGUGUAUGUAUGUGCAUAUAUGUGUACAUAUGUAUGUGUGUGCAUGUGCAUGUAUGUGUAUAUGUGGUAUAUGUGUACAUGUAUAUGUAUGUGUGCAUGUGUGUGUAUGUAAUAUGUAUGUGUGUGUAUAUAUGUAUGCAUGUAUGUGUAUAUGUAUGUAUGUGUGUAUAUAUGUAUGUGUGUAUGUAUGUAUCUAUUUACCUAUUUAUUUAGUUAAUUUUUAAUGUGUGUGCUGGGGACUUGAACUCAGGUACUCAGCAAGAGCUCCUACCCACUGAACUGCUCUCCAGCCCCAUUUCUGCUCCCAAUCUAAUACCCCCCACCAGCAGGGAGCCAGCUGCACCCCAGGCCCAUGCUGCUACAUUCAUUUAUCCAUCCAGUGCUGGGAGCAUCCAUGGCAUUUCUUGAUCUGAGAGGCAAAGAGGACCCAGAGGUGUUCAGGGUGCACCUUUGCCCCUUCGUGUCUCCAGCAUCCAGCCCUUCUCCCCACAGGGUGCUGAGGAUGGCGGUUCCACGGUGGAUCCCCUCACUAGAGUACACUCUGGUCCUGUGGGCACACUGGGCACUCAAAGUGACUAGCAGGCUCCAAAGUUCCCAAGGGAUCCUUGGACCUGUGGGGCUAGAGAGAACGGAGGCACAAUGACCCACUCAGGUCAUUAAAGCCUCGUCAGUACCAGUUCCAAGAAAGAGAAACCCAUCUCACACCAGCUUCAGCCAAAAGGAGGCUCACAUGUACAGCUGAGGCCCAAGACACCUUCACCCACUCGGGCAGCCACCAUGAACAAUGGUGUAAUGGAGCUCAGCAGGGUCUUGAGAAGCUCAGGUUGAAUUCCAAUCGAUGUACAGUUGAGGCUGGCCUUGAACUUCUGAACCUACCUCGGCAUCCUGAGUGUUGGUUUGGCUGGUGUGCACCAUUGCAGAUGGCCGUAUGAAGUACUUACUGGGCUUAAACUCAGUGCUCUGGGCUAGACGAGCCCUGUACCCAUGGAGCCACAUCCCCAGUCCACAUGACACCUCCCAUAUGCUGUCCCGCCAGGAGUUAGGCUGACAGACUUGGACAGUGGGAGCUCAGGGAGCACAAAGCUGAGAGCUGCUGCGUUUCACGGGGGACAGAGCUGUGCUUGGUGAAGAUGGACGGGUCAGGAAACGGUGGCAGUUACGCAAUCCAAAUUACUUGACACCGCGGAAUUGGACACUUUGGAAUGGUUAAGAUGGCAUGGUUUACCACAAUUGGAAAAAAAGCUCAGAAAUUACUUUACCAGGAAACAGAGGAUGAUUAGACAAAUACAGGGGACAUUAAAACCGUGGGGCCCAAGUGGGGGUGUUCCUCAAGCCUGCGGACAAUUCAAAACAUUUGUGGAGGUUUAAGAAAGAUGGUACCCCCCCAGGGGGGUGAGAGAUGGCUCAACUGCUCUUCCAGAGGUCCUGAGUUCAAUUCCCAGCAACCACAUGGUGGCUCACAACCAUCUGUAAUGGGAUCUGAUGCCCUCUUCUGGUGUGUCUGAACACAGCUACAGUGUACUCACAUACAUGAAGUAAAUCUUUAAAAAAAAAAGAUGUCCUAGUAGCCUUGGCAUUUGAAUGCUCAGUCCCCAGUCGUUGGUGCUGUUUGGACAAUUCAGUCAGUGUGGCCUUGCUGAGGGAAGUGUCACUGGGGCGGUGCCUUGAGAAGACUCCGCCAUCCCCUUCUCUCUCUGCUUCCUGUUUGAGGUUGCGAGCUCUCAGUUGCUCCGGCCAGUAGUGUCUCUUCCCUACCCUCAUAGUGAAGGACUCCAAUCUCUCAGGAACCAAGGACCAAAAAGCACGGCUGAAGCCAGGCAUGGUGGUGGACGCCUUUAUUACCAGCGCUCAGGAGGCAGAGGCAGGUGGGUUUCUGUGAGAGUUUGGAGCCAGCUUGGUCUACAUAGUGAGUUCCAGAACAGCCAGGGCUACACAGAGAAACCCUGUCUUAAGAACAAAAACAAACAAACAAACAACAUAAAAAAAAAAUGUAUAGCUGGCGAAACAUCUCAGAGGGCAAAGAUGUUUGUGGUGCAAGCUUGGUGCCUGAGUUCGCUCCCUGGAACCCACAUAAAGGUGGAAAGAGAGAACCAAUUCUACAAAGUUGUCCCCUGACCUCCACAUGGGCACAGUUGCCUGAGUGCAUGCAUGGUCAUCAAACACACGGACAUUGGUAAUCAAAGUUAGAACAAAACAAG